This 445-nucleotide ribosomal RNA is filed under the name uncultured bacterium. Its description in RNAcentral is "bacterial SSU rRNA". It matches the Rfam family "Bacterial small subunit ribosomal RNA", at positions 1 to 483 of the family's 1533-position model. The record is from RNAcentral.
GGGCGGGGGCACGGGGGGAGAGUUUGAUCCUGGCUCAGGAUGAACGCUGGCGGCGUGCUUAACACAUGCAAGUCGAACGAACCUUCGGGUUAGUGGCGGACGGGUGAGUAACGCGUGGGAAUCUGCCCUCAGGAGGGGGAUAACGGCUGGAAACGGCCGCUAAUACCCCAUAUGCCGAGAGGUGAAAUGAAUUUCGCCUGAGGAUGAGCCCGCGUCUGAUUAGCUAGUUGGUGAGGUAAGAGCUCACCAAGGCAUCGAUCAGUAGCUGGUCUGAGAGGAUGAUCAGCCACACUGGGACUGAGACACGGCCCAGACUCCUACGGGAGGCAGCAGUGGGGAAUUUUCCGCAAUGGGCGAAAGCCUGACGGAGCAACGCCGCGUGAGGGAUGAAGGCCUCUGGGCUGUAAACCUCUUUUCUCAAGGAAGAAGAUCUGACGGUACUGAG